AACGAACGCUGGCGGCAUGCUCAACACAUGUACGUCGAACGAAGGCCUUCGGGAGACAGCGGCGCACGGGCGCGUAACGCGUGGGAAUGCGAGCUAUGGCUCGGGAUAACAGCUGGAAACGACUCCUAAUACCGGCUGGAACCGCGAGAUGAAAGGUUUAUCGCCUGAGGAUAAGCCUGCGUCGGAAUAGUUAGCUGGUGGGGGAAAGGCACACCAAGCCGACUAUCCAUAGCUGGCCUGAGAGGAUGGUCAGGCACGCUAGAACUGAGACAAGGCCCAGACUCCUACGGCAGGCAGCAGUGGGGAAUAUUAGACAAUGAGCGCAAGCCUGAUCCAGCAGUGCCGCGUGAAUGAUGAAGGCCCUAGGAUUGUAGAACUCUUUUACCCGGGAAGAUGAUGACUGUACCGGGAGAAUAAGCCCCGGCUAACUCCGUG
This 435-nucleotide ribosomal RNA is filed under the name uncultured bacterium. RNAcentral's name for it is "partial 16S ribosomal RNA". It matches the Rfam family "Bacterial small subunit ribosomal RNA", at positions 29 to 507 of the family's 1533-position model. The record is from RNAcentral.